This 1801-nucleotide unclassified non-coding RNA is filed under the name Leishmania donovani. RNAcentral describes it as "gene:LdHU3.24.2190(CDS-product:ubiquitin-conjugat ing_enzyme_E2_putative)". The record is from RNAcentral. Lineage: Eukaryota; Euglenozoa; Kinetoplastea; Trypanosomatida; Trypanosomatidae.
UGUUUCUUUCAUUUCGGAGGUGGGCACCCUUUGCUGUGCCCCUCCUCUUACCACCACCACUACACUCCCCACAUACAUCCUAGCACCUCUCUUCGGGGUUGUGCCCCCCGCACCCCUGCGCGUAAGGACAAAUACGGAGAGAGAGAAAAAGUGAUGCAUAUCCUAGUACAGUCACUCAAGCCUAUGUUCCAUCGCCACCGCUGGCUUCCUCUCUCCCCUCCCCCCCACCCCCACCACCUCAUCACAAGUGCGCACACACACACGCACGUUUCUCAGCAUCUUCGUCUUUCGUUUGGAUCCUCCGCCUCGCCCCCCCCUUCCUCUCCCCCGGUGUGUUCGCCACCCUUCUUGGGGGUGAUUACAUCUCUGCGGAAAGAGCCUGCACGGCAGCACUCACUGCACCAUGAGCUUAGCCCGUCUGACGCGUGAGCGCAAGCAGCUCCUCGAGGCGCAGCAAUGCGGUGAAACGGCGCCGUCCACAAGCGCCAACACCACCGCCGCCUCCGUGAACUCCUUCAGCGCCGCGCAGGGACGCAUUCGCGCAGACAUGCAGAAGCUGGACGGGGUCAUGAGCGAAGUGAAGAUGGACUCGAUGGACUGGUACGUGGUGCACGUCGCCUACACGCCGGCGCGUGGCAUCUGGCAAGGUGGCACGUUCAACUUCCGCCUUGUUUUCUCCAACGACUUCCCCUACUGCGGCCCGAAGGUGCGAUACACCGGGCCGCGCCGCAUCUUCCACCCCAACAUCGAGGGCGACGACGGCAAGGAGGACUGGGGUGUGUGUCUCGGGAUUCAGACCGAGUGGCGGCCGACGUGCACCAUCAAGGACAUGGUGGUCGCGAUUGAGAUGCUGUUUGCGCUACCGAACUACGAUGACCCGCUCCCAGGCGUGGCGAAGACAGCGGCGCAGAUUCUGAAAGACGAGCCGAGUCGUUUUGAGCUGAUCGCGAAGCGGUGGAUGGGCGGCAACUACAUUAUCUAGGCAGGAUCAUCCCUUCCCCUUCCGCCUUCACGCGCUCAACCGCACGACUUGGCGGGCCUUCGCAGUGUCAUGUAGAUGUGUUAUGCGGGGCAGAGAUCGGAGGACUGCUAUUUUAUAUGGUAGGUCAUGCGCGGUGGUGUACAUCUUUCUCGCACGCUGCGAAGCAGCGAUUUGAACCUUCGCUAAGCACGCGCACGCAUGCGCGCACAAACAUGCGUGUUAGGAAAUGGGGGCGUAGCAGAGAGGGUUUGAGAGAGAAAAGGGGGAGUCGGCGCAGCGAGUAUCACAUGUUGCCUUCUUCCUUUUUGGUGUGGGAAAGGGUGUCCUCUUUGCCGUCGCCAGUUCGCUUUCUCGUCGCGGUCUCCCACCUCCGCCUCCGACCAGCCGGCAGCGGGUGCACCCACUCCACCCCUCCCUCCCUCCGCCCUUUUCUUCGUUGGGCGCAGUCAUUGUUCGACCGCCGCUCCCCUCUUGCCGUGGCUCUUUCUGCUCUGUUCGCGUAGGCAGCAGCGACUACGGCGGUGCCACCUCUGCUGCGUGCCGACGUCUUUUGAACGCCAGCGCUGUGUGGCGUGCACGCGCGUGUCGAUUGGCCUCUGCUCGAGUCAUGUCCGGGACCCUCUUUGUGGGGUAAAGGGACAAGGUCUCACGCGGCGGCUUGCUGUCUUGGUGCUGCUCUACCAGACCCCCCCCCUCACUCUGUCUGUUACGUGUCCGCAGUUCAUCGUGCUUUGCUGCAGCUGUUCUUGUACCGCCCCCCCCCCUCCUCCCUCGUCCCCGCGUGGGGUGCGCGACGCGACUGUCAGCCGAACUGCAAUC